RNAcentral lists this ribosomal RNA (329 nucleotides) under uncultured eukaryote. RNAcentral's name for it is "partial 18S ribosomal RNA". It matches the Rfam family "Eukaryotic small subunit ribosomal RNA", at positions 1470 to 1796 of the family's 1831-position model. The record is from RNAcentral.
CCCUUAGAUGUCCUGGGCCGCACGCGCGCUACACUGAGUGUCUGAGAUACGAGUCUGCCUGGUCCGGCAAGGUCUAGGUAAUCGCUAAAAGACACAUCAUGCUUGGGAUAGAUUAUUGCAAAUAUUAAUCUUGAACGAGGAAUUCCUAGUAAGCGCAAGUCAACAGCUUGCGUUGAUUACGUCCCUGCCCUUUGUACACACCGCCCGUCGCUACUACUGAUUGGAUGUUUAAGCGAGGUUCUCGAACUGCUAGCGACUUAGCUUCGGUGAGGUCGCAGUGUGGGAAGUGAACCUAGCUUGGGUGUCUAGAGGAAGUAAAAGGCGUAACA